This 375-nucleotide ribosomal RNA is filed under the name uncultured bacterium. RNAcentral describes it as "bacterial SSU rRNA". It matches the Rfam family "Bacterial small subunit ribosomal RNA", at positions 30 to 417 of the family's 1533-position model. The record is from RNAcentral.
AUUGAACGCUGGCGGCAGGCCUAACACAUGCAAGUCGAGCGGGGUUUUCGGACCUAGCGGCGGACGGGUGAGUAAUGCGUAGGAAGCUACCCGACAGAGGGGGAUACCAGUUGGAAACGACUGUUAAUACCGCAUAAUGUCUACGGACCAAAGUGUGGGACCUUCGGGCCACAUGCUGUCGGAUGCGCCUACGUGGGAUUAGCUAGUUGGUGGGGUAAUGGCUCACCAAGGCGACGAUCCCUAGCUGGUUUGAGAGGAUGAUCAGCCACACUGGAACUGAGACACGGUCCAGACUCCUACGGGAGGCAGCAGUGGGGAAUAUUGGACAAUGGGCGCAAGCCUGAUCCAGCCAUGCCGCGUGUGUGAAGAAGGCCU